UCCAGCUUAUCGCUGGCGGUCUCCUGCGAGUUCCCAACUGAAUGAUGGCAACACAGGACGAGGGUUGCGCUCGUUGCGGGACUUAACCCAACAUCUCACGACACGAGCUGACGACAGCCAUGCAGCACCUCGACUGGACCCCCUUGCGGAGUAACCGUGUUUCCACGAUCGUUGACCAGCCGUUCGAGCCCAGGUAAGGUUCUUCGCGUUGCGUCGAAUUGAACCACAUGCUCCACCGCUUGUGCGGGUCCCCGUCAAUUCAUUUGAGUUUCAACCUUGCGGCCGUAGUCCCCAGGCGGGAUACUUAACGCGUUAGCUACGGUCACGAGAGGGGUCGAUACCUCUCACACCAAGUAUCCAUCGUUUAGGGCUAGGACUAC
This 380-nucleotide unclassified non-coding RNA is filed under the name uncultured Bryobacterales bacterium. RNAcentral's name for it is "contains 16S-23S intergenic spacer region". Lineage: Bacteria; Pseudomonadati; Acidobacteriota; Terriglobia; Bryobacterales. The record is from RNAcentral.